CACUGUGACACGGGGUGCCCCUCCUCAUGAGGGGCUGAGAUGACACCCGUAGAACCUGAUCUAGUUAGAACUAGCGAAGGGAUGUCUCGCGUGACGACC
This 99-nucleotide non-coding RNA is filed under the name Frigoribacterium sp. RIT-PI-h. RNAcentral describes it as "TPP riboswitch aptamer (THI element)". It matches the Rfam family "TPP riboswitch aptamer (THI element)". Rfam says of the family: Vitamin B(1) in its active form thiamin pyrophosphate (TPP) is an essential coenzyme that is synthesised by coupling of pyrimidine and thiazole moieties in bacteria. RNAcentral also lists the same sequence under 1 other name. Lineage: Bacteria; Bacillati; Actinomycetota; Actinomycetes; Micrococcales; Microbacteriaceae. The record is from Rfam by way of RNAcentral.